GGCUUUGCACAGUGGCGGUAUCGUAGCCAAUGAGGUUUAUCCGAGGCGCAAUUAUUGCUAAUUGAAAACUAAUCUAUUCCAUGUAGAAUUCCUCCUACUGUUACUGACA
Molecule: small nuclear RNA, 109 nt
Filed under: Carlito syrichta (Philippine tarsier)
Lineage: Eukaryota; Metazoa; Chordata; Mammalia; Primates; Tarsiidae
Description: U4 spliceosomal RNA (ENSTSYG00000026070.1)
Rfam family: U4 spliceosomal RNA
About the family: U4 small nuclear RNA (U4 snRNA) is a component of the major U2-dependent spliceosome. The structure of U4 snRNA from yeast and human has been reported.
Source: RNAcentral